AAUAGAUACCCCGGUAGUCCACGCCGUAAACGAUGAGUGCUAAGUGUUAGGGGGUUUCCGCCCCUUAGUGCUGCAGCUAACGCAUUAAGCACUCCGCCUGGGGAGUACGGUCGCAAGACUGAAACUCAAAGGAAUUGACGGGGGCCCGCACAAGCGGUGGAGCAUGUGGUUUAAUUCGAAGCAACGCGAAGAAUCUUACCAGGUCUUGACAUCCCAUUGACCGCUAUGGAGACAUGGCUUUCCCUUCGGGGACAGUGGUGACAGGUGGUGCAUGGUUGUCGUCAGCUCGUGUCGUGAGAUGUUGGGUUAAGUCCCGCAACGAGCGCAACCCUUGUUCUUAGUUGCCAUCAUUUAGUUGGGCACUCUAAGGAGACUGCCGGUGACAAACCGGAGGAAGGUGGGGAUGACGUCAAAUCAUCAUGCCCCUUAUGACCUGGGCUACACACGUGCUACAAUGGACGGUACAAACGGUUGCCAACCCGCGAGGGGGAGCUAAUCCGAUAAAACCGUUCUCAGUUCGGAUUGUAGGCUGCAACUCGCCUAC
RNAcentral lists this ribosomal RNA (544 nucleotides) under uncultured bacterium. RNAcentral describes it as "bacterial SSU rRNA". It matches the Rfam family "Bacterial small subunit ribosomal RNA", at positions 777 to 1319 of the family's 1533-position model. The record is from RNAcentral.